UGAGGGAUAUUGGUCAAUGGGGGGAAACCCUGAACCAGCAACGCCGCGUGAGGGAAGACGGUCUUCGGAUUGUAAACCUUUGUCCUCUGUGAAGAUAAUGACGGUAGCAGAGGAGGAAGCUCCGGCUAACUACGUGCC
Molecule: ribosomal RNA, 138 nt
Filed under: uncultured bacterium
Lineage: Bacteria
Description: partial 16S ribosomal RNA
Rfam family: Bacterial small subunit ribosomal RNA
Source: RNAcentral